GGGGGGGCCCGCUCCAGUCAUACUUCAAUGAUUCCCUAUUUAAUCAACCAAAUUUUUCCCACGAAAGGGGGGACCCGUGCCCCUGGAUCCGCCUAUGCCCACUGACUGACUAAGAGGGGGACCGCUCCGGUCACAGGGGCUUGUUUAGUGGAUCAGGCAAGGUUUUACUGUCAAUGGCCCAAUCGCUAUCCUAUAUAAAAUACCAAUAUAUUACUCCUAUAUAAAAUACCGAGAUGACAGUAAAACCUCGUCUGACCCACUAAACA
This 266-nucleotide long non-coding RNA is filed under the name Mytilus galloprovincialis (Mediterranean mussel). Lineage: Eukaryota; Metazoa; Mollusca; Bivalvia; Mytilida; Mytilidae. The record is from RNAcentral.